UACGAAGGGGGCUAGCGUUGCUCGGAAUCACUGGGCGUAAAGGGUGCGUAGGCGGGUCCUUAAGUCAGGGGGGAAAUCCUGGAGCUCAACUCCAGAACUGCCUUUGAUACUGAGGAUCUUGAGUUCGGGAGAGGUGAGUAGAACUGCGAGUGUAGAGGUGAAAUUCGUAGAUAUUCGCAAGAACACCAGUGGCGAAGGCGGCUCACUGGCCCGAUACUGACGCUGAGGCACGAAAGCGUGGGGAGCAAACAGG
Molecule: ribosomal RNA, 253 nt
Filed under: uncultured bacterium
Lineage: Bacteria
Description: partial 16S ribosomal RNA
Rfam family: Bacterial small subunit ribosomal RNA
Source: RNAcentral